RNAcentral lists this ribosomal RNA (638 nucleotides) under uncultured Actinomycetes bacterium. RNAcentral describes it as "bacterial SSU rRNA". It matches the Rfam family "Bacterial small subunit ribosomal RNA", at positions 232 to 885 of the family's 1533-position model. Lineage: Bacteria; Bacillati; Actinomycetota; Actinomycetes. The record is from RNAcentral.
CGCGGCCUAUCAGCUUGUUGGUGAGGUAACGGCUCACCAAGGCAUCGACGGGUAGCUGGUCUGAGAGGACGAUCAGCCACACUGGGACUGAGACGCGGCCCAGACUCCUACGGGAGGCAGCAGUAGGGAAUCUUGCGCAAUGGGGGAAACCCUGACACAGCAACGCCGCGUGUGGGAUGACGGCUUUCGGGUUGUAAACCACUUUCAGUGAUGACGAAAAUGACGGUAAUCACAGAAGAAGGUCCGGCCAACUACGUGCCAGCAGCCGCGGUAACACGUAGGGACCGAGCGUUGUCCGGAUUUAUUGGGCGUAAAGAGCUCGUAGGCGGUUCUGUAAGUCGGAUGUGAAAACUCAGGGCUCAACCCUGAGACGCCAUCUGAUACUGCAGUGACUAGAGUCCGGUAGAGGAAGAUGGAAUUCCUGGUGUAGCGGUGGAAUGCGCAGAUAUCAGGAGGAACACCAAUGGCGAAGGCAGUCUUCUGGGCCGGUACUGACGCUGAGGAGCGAAAGCAUGGGGAGCAAACAGGAUUAGAUACCCUGGUAGUCCAUGCCGUAAACGUUGGGCACUAGGUGUGGGGUCUUCUAACGGAUUCCGUGCCGUAGCUAACGCAUUAAGUGCCCCGCCUGGGGAGUACGG